Molecule: ribosomal RNA, 253 nt
Filed under: uncultured bacterium
Lineage: Bacteria
Description: partial 16S ribosomal RNA
Rfam family: Bacterial small subunit ribosomal RNA
Source: RNAcentral
UACGUAGGGUGCAAGCGUUAAUCGGAAUUACUGGGCGUAAAGCGUGCGCAGGCGGUUGUGUGAGUCUGUCGUGAAAUCCCCGGGCUCAACCUGGGAAUUGCGAUGGAGACUGCACGGCUAGAGUGUGUCAGAGGGGGGUAGAAUUCCACGUGUAGCAGUGAAAUGCGUAGAUAUGUGGAGGAACACCGAUGGCGAAGGCAGCCCCCUGGGAUAACACUGACGCUCAUGCACGAAAGCGUGGGGAGCAAACAGG